AGCAGCCGCGGUAAUUCCAGCUCCAAUAGCGUAUAUUAAAGUUGUUGCAGUUAAAAGCUCGUAGUUGAAUUUCGGGGUCAGCAGGUCGGUCGUGCCACUGGUAUGUACUGGCUUUGCUGAUUCCUCCCUCUUGACGAACCGUAAUGCCAUUAAUUUGGUGUUGCGGGAAAUCAGGACUGUUACUUUGAAAAAUUGAGUGUUUAAAGCAGGCUUACGCUUGAAUACAUUAGCAUGGGAUAAUGAAAUAGGACGUUCGAUCCUAUUUUGUUGGUUUCUAGGAUUGACGUAAUGAUUAAUAGGGAUAGUUGGGGGCAUUAGUAUUCAAUUGUCAGAGGUGAAAUUCUUGGAUUUAUUGAAGACUAACUACUGCGAAAGCAUUUGCCAAGGAUGUUUUCAUUAA
This 400-nucleotide unclassified non-coding RNA is filed under the name uncultured Glomus. RNAcentral describes it as "SSU rRNA". It matches the Rfam family "Eukaryotic small subunit ribosomal RNA", at positions 569 to 976 of the family's 1831-position model. The record is from RNAcentral. Lineage: Eukaryota; Fungi; Glomeromycota; Glomeromycetes; Glomerales; Glomeraceae.